CCUACGGGUGACAGCAGUGAGGAAUAUUGGUCAAUGGGCGCGAGCCUGAACCAGCCAAGUAGCGUGAAGGAUGACUGCCCUAUGGGUUGUAAACUUCUUUUAUAAAGGAAUAAAGUGCGGCAUGUAUGCUUGUUUGCAUGUACUUUAUGAAUAAGGAUCGGCUAACUCCGUGCCAGCAGCCGCGGUAAUACGGAGGAUCCGAGCGUUAUCCGGAUUUAUUGGGUUUAAAGGGAGCGUAGGUGGGUUGUUAAGUCAGUUGUGAAAGUUUGCGGCUCAACCGUAAAAUUGCAAUUGAUACUGGCAGUCUUGAGUACAGUAGAGGUAGGCGGAAUUCGUGGUGUAGCGGUGAAAUGCUUAGAUAUCACGAAGAACUCCGAUUGCGAAGGCAGCUUACUGGACUGCAACUGACACUGAUGCUCGAAAGUGUGGGUAUCAAACAGGAUUAGAUACCCUGGUAGUC
RNAcentral lists this ribosomal RNA (460 nucleotides) under uncultured bacterium. Its description in RNAcentral is "partial 16S ribosomal RNA". It matches the Rfam family "Bacterial small subunit ribosomal RNA", at positions 338 to 795 of the family's 1533-position model. The record is from RNAcentral.